This 512-nucleotide ribosomal RNA is filed under the name uncultured bacterium. RNAcentral describes it as "partial 16S ribosomal RNA". It matches the Rfam family "Bacterial small subunit ribosomal RNA", at positions 28 to 507 of the family's 1533-position model. The record is from RNAcentral.
GACGAACGCUGGCGGCGUGCCUAAUACAUGCAAGUCGAGCGAGCGGAACCAACAGAUUUACUUCGGUAAUGACGUUGGGACAGCGAGCGGCGGAUGGGUGAGUAACACGUGGGGAACCUGCCCCUAAGUCUGGGAUACCAUUUGGAAACAGGUGCUAAUACCGGCUAAGAAAGCAGAUCGCAUGAUCAGCUUUUAAAAGGCGGCGUAAGCUGUCGCUAAGGGAUGGCCCCGCGGUGCAUUAGCUAGUUGGUAAGGUAACGGCUUACCAAGGCAACGAUGCAUAGCCGAGUUGAGAGACUGAUCGGCCACAUUGGGACUGAGACACGGCCCAAACUCCUACGGGAGGCAGCAGUAGGGAAUCUUCCACAAUGGACGCAAGUCUGAUGGAGCAACGCCGCGUGAGUGAAGAAGGUUUUCGGAUCGUAAAGCUCUGUUGUUGGUGAAGAAGGAUAGAGGUAGUAACUGGCCUUUAUUUGACGGUAAUCAACCAGAAAGUCACGGCUAACUACGUG